AUUGAACGCUGGCGGAAUGCUUUACACAUGCAAGUCGAACGGUAGCACGGGUGCUUGCACCUGGUGGCGAGUGGCGAACGGGUGAGUAAUACAUCGGAACGUACCCAGUCGUGGGGGAUAACGUAGCGAAAGUUACGCUAAUACCGCAUACGUCCAGAGGGAGAAAGCGGGGGACCGUCAGGCCUCGCGCGAAUGGAGCGGCCGCUGGCGGAUUAGCUAGUUGGUGGGGUAAAGGCCUACCAAGGCGACGAUCCGUAGCGGGUUUGAGAGGACGGCCCGCCACACUGGAACUGAGACACGGUCCAGACUCCUACGGGAGGCAGCAGUGGGGAAUUUUGGACAAUGGGCGAAAGCCUGAUCCAGCCAUUCCGCGUGAGUGAAGAAGGCCUUCGGGUUGUAAAGCUCUUUCGGCAGGGAAGAAACGGCUUGGGAUAAUACCCCGGGCUAAUGACGGUACCUGAAGAAGAAGCACCGGCUAACUACGUGCCAGCCGCCGCCGUAA
Molecule: ribosomal RNA, 502 nt
Filed under: uncultured bacterium
Lineage: Bacteria
Description: partial 16S ribosomal RNA
Rfam family: Bacterial small subunit ribosomal RNA
Source: RNAcentral